AUGGUUCUGCUUUAUCCUACAGCCAUGGGCCUCAACAAGGGCCACAAGGUGACCAAGAAUGUGAGCAAGCCCAGGCCCAGCUGCCAUCGCAGGUGCCUGACCAAACACACCAAGUUCAUGCGGGAUAUGAUCUGAGAGGUGUGUGGCUUCACCCUGUAUGGGCAGCAUCCCAUGGAGUAGCUCAAGGUCUCCAAGGACAAAAGGGCCUUCAAGUUCAUCAAGAAAAAGGUGGGAACACACAUCCGCACCAAGAGGAAGUAGGAGGAGCUGCGCAAUGUCCUGGCCACCAUGAGGAAAGCCGCUGCCAAGGACUGA
This 315-nucleotide long non-coding RNA is filed under the name Homo sapiens (human). RNAcentral describes it as "non-protein coding lnc-LIF-3:1". Lineage: Eukaryota; Metazoa; Chordata; Mammalia; Primates; Hominidae. The record is from RNAcentral.